This 238-nucleotide ribosomal RNA is filed under the name uncultured bacterium. Its description in RNAcentral is "partial 16S ribosomal RNA". It matches the Rfam family "Bacterial small subunit ribosomal RNA", at positions 96 to 334 of the family's 1533-position model. The record is from RNAcentral.
UGGCGGACGGGUGAGUAACGCGUGGGUAACCUGCCUCACACUGGGGGACAACAGUUAGAAAUGACUGCUAAUACCGCAUAAGCGCACAGGACCGCAUGGUCCGGUGUGAAAAACUCCGGUGGUGUGAGAUGGAUCCGCGUCUGAUUAGGUAGUUGGUGGGGUAACGGCCCACCAAGCCGACGAUCAGUAGCCGACCUGAGAGGGUGACCGGCCACAUUGGGACUGAGACACGGCCCAA